UAUUGGGCAUGGACAUUUUUC
RNAcentral lists this non-coding RNA (21 nucleotides) under Arabidopsis thaliana (thale cress). The record is from RNAcentral. Lineage: Eukaryota; Viridiplantae; Streptophyta; Magnoliopsida; Brassicales; Brassicaceae.